This 22-nucleotide microRNA is filed under the name Oreochromis niloticus (Nile tilapia). RNAcentral describes it as "oni-miR-10717". Lineage: Eukaryota; Metazoa; Chordata; Actinopteri; Cichliformes; Cichlidae. The record is from miRBase by way of RNAcentral.
CACGGAUGCACACACAUGCACU